UCCGCAUUGGUCCAGUGGUCAGGAUCUCUGUCUUUCACACAGAUGGCCGGGGUUCGAUUCCCCGAUGCGGAA
Molecule: non-coding RNA, 72 nt
Organism: Fennellomyces sp. T-0311
Lineage: Eukaryota; Fungi; Mucoromycota; Mucoromycetes; Mucorales; Lichtheimiaceae
Source: the annotation of a GenBank genome assembly